RNAcentral lists this ribosomal RNA (494 nucleotides) under uncultured bacterium. RNAcentral's name for it is "partial 16S ribosomal RNA". It matches the Rfam family "Bacterial small subunit ribosomal RNA", at positions 28 to 507 of the family's 1533-position model. The record is from RNAcentral.
GACGAACGCUGGCGGCGCGCUUAACACAUGCAAGUCGAACGGAAAGGCCUGCUUUCCCUUGUGGAUUGCGGGUACUCGAGUGGCGAACGGGUGAGUAACACGUGAGUGAUCUGCCCCCAACUUGGGUAUAAGCCUGGGAAACUGGGUCUAAUUCCCGAUAGGACUGCAGGGUGGUGCCUGUGGUGGAAAACGAUUUUCUAGUGGUUGGGGAUGAGCUCGCGGCCUAUCAGCUUGUUGGUGGGGUAAUGGCCUACCAAGGCGGCGACGGGUAGCCGGCCUGGGAGGGUGGACGGCCACAUGGGGACUGGGAUACGGCCCAGACUCCUACGGGAGGCAGCAGUGGGGAAUAUGGCACAAUGGGGGGAAGCCUGAUGCAGCGACGCAGAGUGGGGGAUGACGGCCUUCGGGUUGUAAACUCCUUUCGACCGCGAGGAAGCCACCUGGUUGGAAGGGUGGUGACGGUAGUGGUAGAAGAAGCACCGGCUAACUACGUG